CAUGGCGCCACGCGGGACUGGAGAGGUUGUUAGUCGGCUGCUUUUAUACACAAAGAGAGUUAUGAUAAAAUAAUAUUUGAUGCCACCCGGAAUUAUUUCACAAGAAUGAAGAUUCAAGUCCCGCUGAUGUCCACUCCGUGUCCCGCUGAUGUCCGCUCCGUGUCCCGCUGAUGUCCGCUCCGUGCCCGGCUGAUGUCCACUCCGUGCCCGGCUGAUGUCCGCUCCAUGUCCCGCUGAUGUCCGCUCCGUGCCCGGCUGAUGUCCACUCCGUGCCCGGCUGAUGUCCACUCCGUGUCCCGCUGAUGUCCGCUCCGUGCUCGGCUGAUGUCCGCUCCGUGUCCGGCUGAUGUCUCUUUCAGAUGAUUCACGGUGCUUCAGGAAGGACCAAAGUACAUGCAGCAGGGCUCGAUCAGCAUCGAACAAACAUCACAGCAGCCAGAGAAGAACUGCAGCACAACAACUGGAUACUGUGCAAGAUUUGUUUACCUCUACUGUAUGUUUUCCAGCAAAAGAAUCCAAUGGGACCAAACUCAAUGUUUUAACUGUCAUUAAAAAUCAUUGAUUUCUCCUUCUGUUUGUACUCCUGAGCUGGUUAGCUUCUGCAGCAGGACUGGAGACCGAUAAAGCAAAUAAAACAUUCUGUUUCUGA
Anarrhichthys ocellatus (wolf-eel) is the source of this 649-nucleotide long non-coding RNA. RefSeq lists it as uncharacterized. The record is from RefSeq and is a predicted model, not a curated record. The transcript has 4 exons. NCBI's taxonomy places the organism in Eukaryota, Metazoa, Chordata, Actinopteri, Perciformes, Anarhichadidae.